GUUAAUGUUCACAGCCCUGGAAAAAUCAUGAGGUGGUGUCAACAACCCUCAGAAGUUGCUCAGGUAGUGCAGCUCAUCCAAGAUGGCACAUCAGUGUGAGCUGUCUGUCAGCACAGUGUCCAGAGCAUGGAGGAGACACCA
Salarias fasciatus (jewelled blenny) is the source of this 141-nucleotide long non-coding RNA. RefSeq lists it as uncharacterized. The record is from RefSeq and is a predicted model, not a curated record. Lineage: Eukaryota; Metazoa; Chordata; Actinopteri; Blenniiformes; Blenniidae. The transcript has 3 exons.